GACGAACGCUGGCGGCGUGCUUAACACAUGCAAGUCGAACGGAAAGGCCCUGCUUUUGUGGGGUGCUCGAGUGGCGAACGGGUGAGUAACACGUGAGUAACCUGCCCUUGACUUUGGGAUAACUUCAGGAAACUGGGGCUAAUACCGGAUAGGAGCUCCUGCUGCAUGGUGGGGGUUGGAAAGUUUCGGCGGUUGGGGAUGGACUCGCGGCUUAUCAGCUUGUUGGUGGGGUAGUGGCUUACCAAGGCUUUGACGGGUAGCCGGCCUGAGAGGGUGACCGGCACAUUGGGGAGUGAGGGAGGCCCCAGCCCCCAAGGGGGGGAAGGGGGGGGAAAUAUGGCACAUGGGGGGGAGGCCUAAGGCGGCAGCGCCGGGGGGGGGAUGGGGGCCUUGGGGUUGUAAACCGCUUUCGCCUGUGACGAGGGGGGAGUGACGGUAAGGGGUAAAGAAGCCCCGGCUAACUACGUC
RNAcentral lists this ribosomal RNA (468 nucleotides) under uncultured bacterium. RNAcentral's name for it is "partial 16S ribosomal RNA". It matches the Rfam family "Bacterial small subunit ribosomal RNA", at positions 28 to 507 of the family's 1533-position model. The record is from RNAcentral.